This is an RNA transcript of Spinacia oleracea (spinach), 1606 nucleotides long. RefSeq lists it as uncharacterized. Lineage: Eukaryota; Viridiplantae; Streptophyta; Magnoliopsida; Caryophyllales; Amaranthaceae. The transcript has 6 exons. The record is from RefSeq and is a predicted model, not a curated record.
GCAAAAUCUUCCUAUUUACAAUAAUGCUCCUUGAACGACGAAAUAUACCAAUUAAUUAGAUAGCCUGUUCGUUGUUCGGCAAUUUGACUUUCCUCCCGUAGACUGAAAUCAUACAGAGAAAUCAAACACCCACUUUAGAAGAGUCUGGCUUUCCGGUGAUAUCUCACCGGAGAUUAACUAAAUCCCGGCGUGAUUCUGCCACACAAAUUUUUCCUUUUUUUCUUCUUCCCCUCUGGUGUAGCGCCGUGAUUCACCGGAGCCGAAAAAACAUGUCGAAUUCCGACACAAUUUCAAUUGGUAUAGCAGCAAAUGACGAUUCCUAUUCAGUUAUUCCCACAAUUUUUUCGCCUGAAUGUGAUAAUAAUAAUGUGAAUGAUGACAACAUCGCCGGAAGUUCUGAGGCUUUAGCUGAGGGUAUUUCUACAAUGCUCGCUGGUGUGAUUAGGGAUUUUGAUUCCAAAGCUGAGGAUGCUUCUCGAAGCCAAUUUCAGCUCAUUUCUGCUCUCGAUCGUCUCACUUCUGGGUUUUGCGAUGCUUGGAUAAUUCAUUUCAUGAGGCGGGAUGCGGUUUGUUUACCUAAGGUUGAAGAGCUCGAUCAGCUAUUGGAGGAUGCACCGUUGCCAUUCAUCAUGCAGCAUGCCACUAAACUUUCUAAUGUCAGAAAAAGAGUAUCAUCAUUAAAUUUACUCUUAAGAUCUGUACAACAUCGUCUUGAUAAUAUCGACCGUAUGAUGUCUAUUGGCUCACUUGAUAAUAAAUCAAAUGUAGGAGGCUCCAAGUAACUCCAAUGUCCACAUUAGAAGGUUGGUUGCUACUGUUAGACUGUUAGUGCUUGCUUUGAUUUGAACCAUGUCAUGAAAGCAAGAGAGGUCCUAUGCACAUGUACAUACAUGUAUUCCAUCAGUCGGCCUACUUGAACGAUCUGAACUAUUGGAAGGACUGAGGGCAUGUAAAAUGUGGUCGCACAUGAUACAAUCAUCUAGAUUCUGGAUGUUGUAUUAGCAUUCAACCCUCAGGGAUUUGAUUAUAUACAUUCAGCUCUUCAUGCACACUACUAACUCUCGGUGGAGCUUGAUUUGAUUUAUGUACACAGCUGGGUGCUUUUCUCUUCAGUUGAGAGUUUAAGCCGGAGAAAUGAAGUAUGCAUUCCAAGGCCUGGGGUUUGAUUUUUCCUGUUCAGUGUUUCUUCCUUGUGGGAACUUUUGGUUGUACUUUUGGGGGUUUGUUUCUUCCUUUUUACUAUCCUUGUGAAAACUUUUGGCUUUCGAUGUUUGUCAGAAGAUUCUUGUAUAAUGAUCACUAUAUUUAACACAAUUCAAAUCAUUCCCCUGAAGAGAAGUCACUGGCAUGAAGAACCUCUUUUUUGUUUUUAAUUUUUUGUAAGGCACCGAUGAAUUCGAGUUGUUUUUUUAUCCUGGAAUGGUGAAACGUCUAAAAAGAUGGCACAUACUUCCUCUGUUUCUAAAUGUUUUUUCCCAUUUGUCUUUGGCACCCUUGCCAAUGCACAUUUUAUAUCGUUAAUAUUUUGAACUGCGUGUUAUCAAAAAUUGUAAAAUUUUCAUAUUGUUCAAGUAUUUAUUGAGACGAAUUCUGGAUUUUUUUGAUA